AGUGAACGCUGGCGGUAGGCCUAACACAUGCAAGUCGAACGGCAGCACAGUAAGAGCUUGCUCUUACGGGUGGCGAGUGGCGGACGGGUGAGGAAUACAUCGGAAUCUACUUUUUCGUGGGGGAUAACGUAGGGAAACUUACGCUAAUACCGCAUACGACCUACGGGUGAAAGCAGGGGAUCUUCGGACCUUGCGCGAUUGAAUGAGCCGAUGUCGGAUUAGCUAGUUGGCGGGGUAAAGGCCCACCAAGGCGACGAUCCGUAGCUGGUCUGAGAGGAUGAUCAGCCACAUUGGAACUGAGACACGGUCCAGACUCCUACGGGAGGCAGCAGUGUGGAAUAUUGGACAAUGGGCGCAAGCCUUAUCCAGCCAUACCGCGUGGGUGAAGAAGGCCUUCGGGUUGUAAAGCCCUUUUGUUGGGAAAGAAAAGCAGCAGGUUAAUACCCCGCUGUUCUGACGGUACCCAAAGAAUAAGCACCGGCUAACUUCGUG
RNAcentral lists this ribosomal RNA (492 nucleotides) under uncultured bacterium. Its description in RNAcentral is "partial 16S ribosomal RNA". It matches the Rfam family "Bacterial small subunit ribosomal RNA", at positions 29 to 507 of the family's 1533-position model. The record is from RNAcentral.